GAUGAACGCUGGCGGCGUGCCUAAUACAUGCAAGUCGAGCGAACAGACGAGGAGCUUGCUCCUCUGACGUUAGCGGCGGACGGGUGAGUAACACGUGGAUAACCUACCUAUAAGACUGGGAUAACUUCGGGAAACCGGAGCUAAUACCGGAUAAUAUAUUGAACCGCAUGGUUCAAUAGUGAAAGACGGUUUUGCUGUCACUUAUAGAUGGAUCCGCGCCGCAUUAGCUAGUUGGUAAGGUAACGGCUUACCAAGGCAACGAUGCGUAGCCGACCUGAGAGGGUGAUAGGCCACACUGGAACUGAGACACGGUCCAGACUCCUACGGGAGGCAGCAGUAGGGAAUCUUCCGCAAUGGGCGAAAGCCUGACGGAGCAACGCCGCGUGAGUGAUGAAGGUCUUCGGAUCGUAAAACUCUGUUAUUAGGGAAGAACAAAUGUGUAAGUAACUAUGCUCGUCUUGACGGUACCUAAUCAGAAAGCCACGGCUAACUACGUG
Molecule: ribosomal RNA, 497 nt
Filed under: uncultured bacterium
Lineage: Bacteria
Description: partial 16S ribosomal RNA
Rfam family: Bacterial small subunit ribosomal RNA
Source: RNAcentral